GGAGGGUUGGCAAAGUCUGGUCAAUGCAGCCGAUUGAUACUCGGCAAUCCGCGCGAACGGAUCGAGGGUUCGAAUCCCUCACCCUAUU
RNAcentral lists this transfer RNA (88 nucleotides) under Pseudotabrizicola sp. 4114. RNAcentral describes it as "tRNA-Ile". It matches the Rfam family "tRNA". Rfam says of the family: Transfer RNA (tRNA) molecules are approximately 80 nucleotides in length. Lineage: Bacteria; Pseudomonadati; Pseudomonadota; Alphaproteobacteria; Rhodobacterales; Paracoccaceae. The record is from RNAcentral.